Molecule: ribosomal RNA, 254 nt
Filed under: uncultured bacterium
Lineage: Bacteria
Description: partial 16S ribosomal RNA
Rfam family: Bacterial small subunit ribosomal RNA
Source: RNAcentral
UACGGGGGGAGCAAGCGUUGUUCGGAUUUACUGGGCGUAAAGGGCGCGUAGGCGGCCAGCACAAGUCAGUUGUGAAAUCUCCGAGCUUAACUCGGAAAGGUCAACUGAUACUGUGCGGCUAGAGUGCAGAAGGGGCAACUGGAAUUCUUGGUGUAGCGGUGAAAUGCGUAGAUUUCAAGAGGAACACCUGCGGCGAAGGCGGGUUGCUGGGCUGACACUGACGCUGAGGCGCGAAAGCUAGGGGAGCGAACGGG